Oryctolagus cuniculus (rabbit) is the source of this 18740-nucleotide non-coding RNA. The record is from RefSeq and is a predicted model, not a curated record. Lineage: Eukaryota; Metazoa; Chordata; Mammalia; Lagomorpha; Leporidae.
GGUCGUCCGCCCCUACCCACCCACCCGCCACGCCUUCAAAGCAGAGUUUCCGGCAUCUUUCCAGCGUGCUGGCCCCUCGUGGAGUAAGUCAGCCAAAGUGCGUGUGUGGGUGACAGGGCAUCUGAAGAACUGUCCUCGAUCCUUCCCGCCCCUGGAAGAAAAGCUACCGCUUAUCUUCAAGCCGGUACCCUGAGCCAACCUCAGCAUCAUCACUCCCUCCAGCCACCCAAGAUGGAGAGCCUACAAGUCUCACAUCUCCAGGGAAGUCUUACGGGGAGAGGUGGAGGCCCACAUGACUGGAGGUCACCAUAAGGGUCACAGUCUGUAGCUUUCAGAACUAACUCCAUACAGCCCCACUGAAGUGGUUAACGUGAGGAAAAAGGGUCAUUGUGACAGUUGAUCAGUCUUGUUAGGGUAAGGGAGGGGAUACAGUGCACCGAAGUUGGAUUUGGCCAGGUGAGAUUUGUGUUUCUUUUUCUGUGCAUGAUUUCUCUCUGAAGAGAAGUGGACAGUAUCCGUGGCCUGAAAAUCCUUCAAUCCCAUCUCUUUGUGCUUUCCCAGAAUGCAAAAUACUUUCUGACUUUUCAAGAUAGUUUUAUUUGAUGCUGUCUCCUGGUCAAUUUCACUUCCCUACCACCCUUUAAAUAUAUACUUUGAGAAAACCUUAAUAAUCACAAUCUUUGCUCAUUCUUCAGUUGCAAGGGACAAACAUUUCUGCUCUCCUCAAAGAUGAGCAAAGCUGCUUUUCUAAACAACUUAAACUCUUUUUAAAAAAGAGGGUGCCUGUGAACAGAAUAAAUACAAGCCUGAGUGGGGAGAUGAAGUGGUGAGCACACUAAGAGGUUCUUCUUUAAAAAACUUGACUCUGGGGCCAGCGCUGUGGCAUGGUAGGUUAAGCUUCUGCCUAUGGUGCCAGCAUCCCACAUGGAUGCCAGUUUGAGACCCAACUGCUCCACUUCAGAUCCAGCUCCCUGCUAAUGCACCUGGGAAAGCAGUGGGAGAUGGCCCAAGUGCUUGGACCCCUACGCCCAUGUGGGAUACCCAGAAGAAACUUCUGGCUCCUAGCUUCAACUUGGCCUAACCCGGGCCAUUGUGGGUAUUUGGGGAGUGACUCAGUGCAUGGAAGACCUCUGUCUCUCCUCCUCUCUCUAGCUCUGCCUUUCAAUUAAAUAAAAAAUAAAGCUUGAAUUAAAAAAAAAAAAAACCUCUUGCAGCCUUACCAUGAAGGGAACCUAAACCUGUUGAGUAGCAACUCAAUCCAGCAAUUUUGGUUCAGAUUUUUGUGGUCUUUGUCCCCUGAAUAUUAAUCAGCUGCUAACUGUAAGUGAUAAUAACAUCGUUCAAACUGGUUUCAGUGUGACAGGAAAUGUACUAGCCCAACUAACUGGAAAUUUCAAAAGAAAUGCUGGUGUUUGACACACCUGGAUCCAGGCGCUCAAAGGUAGAAUAAAGGUGAGCCUCUUUUCAUCUCUUUUAGUCUUGGGUCCUCACGAGCUCCAGAUUGCUCAGCUUUUCUGCACAAAGGGAACAUCGUCUUCCCAAUCAACAGACCAACAGGCCCCAGGCUCUGCUCUCACUGGCCUAAAAUGCAACCAACUGCUCUGUUCAGAGGGAAAGAAUACAUCCAACUAUCAGGCUCUAGUCUCAUGCACACCCUGGUGCUGUUCAAGUGAAAAGGAACUUGGGAUCUAGGAAAAGUCAGUUGUUUGGACAAGAGUGGGGAGAGGCAUAGUUUCCUAAAGAAAAUCCACUGGAAGCACAGCAAGGAGAAUAAAUAUUGGGAAGGCAGAGCAACACACAUCUAGUAUGCUUAGCUGCUGAUGCACAGAUCCAAACACAGUUGUGUGUGUCCAAGAAUCUUCUGUUACCUGGAGUGGACAGAAAGGACCCCACAAGAAAUAGCCAGUCUAUAGCCUCAACACAUGCUACAGGCACUUUCUACAAAAGGAAAUUCAGAAUCCCACUGCAUACACUAAAAAUUCACAAUUAAUUGAUGAGCUCAUCCAUAUCUACUCCUCAAAACAAAGAGAAAGAGAAAUGACAUCACUGAAUGUACAUCCAUGUCUACAUCCAGUAAUGUGCCCAUUGCAAUUAAAUUCCCAUGUCUAACUGUACUCCUGGAAUUAAUUCUACUGUCAUGGCAUUCUAUCACGUGGGUGACAAACACUUUUCCAAUGCCCAAAAUAGUCUCUAUUCUCAGCCCAGGAGAUGAGAUCUGGACUCCCAUCUCUUCCCACCCCUGUAAGAUCAGCCCCUCUACAAUUCCAAGUGUUCAACACUAUCAAAAGUCUCUCCAUAUUAUUAUUGUUAACUAAAAUUAAGUAUAUGCUGGACCCAUCUAUCAGGCCAUACCUCUUUCUAAUCCAAUUAGACUCUAGUAAAGAUUUAUUAAGCACAAGGUGACACAAAGCUAUAAAAUAUGAGAAAAUAUACCUCAAUAACUAUAAUUUGAGAAAACAUUAGUAUCAUUCUUACUUGCUGUGAAAGACCCAAUGCUUGCCUCCACUCUAAGCCCAGGUCCUGCCAAUCUGAGUGCUAACAGAUAAAUAAAUUUAUGCAUAUGGAUUUUUAGUUUGCAAUUCCUUUAUGUAAUUUCUUUCUCCAUAAUACCCACAGAGACACAUAAACAGACCAGAACCCUUCAAGUUCUAUACAGGUGAAGGUACUAGGUAAAUCUCAUAAAUUACACACUAGGGAGCAUAAGCCCUCCUAAAAUCCUCUCUACUGCCACCUCAUGGCCUUCAACUGUAAAUGAACUGCAGUCUCUGGAGAUGGGGGUUAAGAUUCUGAAACGCGUGAGAAAGCUUUCUUUCACUCCACAGACAGAAAGUUGGAGCAACUACAGAUCUUAAAAGGCCAUAGUAAUAUUUCAGUGUAGAUUCUGACUGGCUUUAGGCCAAAGUCUAAACUUGUUUGGGUACUGCUAAAUUGAACAGUAAGCCUUCUCUUUUCAUCUCUACCAUGUUCCAAGCAUCACUCAUUAUUGUAUUAUUAUCUCAUUUGGUUAUUUAGCAUUAGUAUUUGACUUGUUAUCCUGAAAAAGUGCAUAGGCUUUUACAUAUAUUUCUACAUAAAGGAAAUUGUUUUGAUAAAUGAUUGAAAUUAAGGAGUGUUCUUUAAAAUGAUGUUAUUUAUUCCCUCUUUUAUGUACUGAAAUAAAUCUGUCUCAGACACUGCUUGACAGUAUAGAUGAAAAGGUGUUUGGCCUAGCAUUAACAUGAAAGUUAGUAUGCCCAUGCCCAAGUCAGAGUGCUUGGGUUCAACUCCCAGCUGUCACUCCUGAUUUUAGCUUCCUUAAUGCAGACCCUGGGAGGCAGUGUGGAUGACUCAUGUAGUUGGGUUUCUGCUACCUAUGUGUGAGACCUUGACUGAGUUCACAGACCCUGGCCAGGGCUCCCCUAGCCCUCGUAGGCAUCUGGGGAGUGAGCCCACAGAUGGGAGAACUCUCUCUCUGUGUUGCUCAAAUAAAUAACUAGGUUUUUUUUUUUUAAGGUAGGAGAACAAUUCCUUAGGAAAAGAACAGAUGUGGUUCGGUGAAACGCAUUAACUGGCCAUUUUGGCUGUGCAAAAAUUCCCUCAGGGGCAGGCAGUAUAGUGCAGCAGGUUCAGCUUGGAGUACCUACAUCCCAUACUGCAGUGUAUGGGAUUGAGUCCUGCUUCUUCUUUCAAUCCAGCUUCCUUUUAAUACACCUGGGAGUUAGCAGAUGAGGGCCAACUACUUGCGUUCCUAUCACCCACAUGGGAGACCUGGCUGGAGUUUCUCAUUCUUGGCUUUAGCCUGGCCCAGCCUGGCCCAGCCUGGCCCAGCCUGGCAGUUGCAGGCAUUUGAAGAGUGAAUCAACAGAUGUAAAUUUAAAAUAAAUAAAUCUUUUUAAAUUUAUUUUUUUGAUUUUAUUUAAGUUAUACAAGUUUCAUGUAUUUCAUUUAUACAAAUUUAGGAACAUACUGAUACUUCCCACCCUAUCCUCUCUCCCACCCAUGCUCUAACCCAUCUUCCUCCUCCCUCUCCCAUUCCCACUCUUAAUUUUUACAAAGAUCUACUUUCAGUUUGCUUAAUGACUGUAAGGUUAACCCUAUACUAAGUAAAAGAGUUCAACAUAGUAUGAAGAAAAAAACACUGUUCCUCAACAGAAGAGACAAGGUCCACAAACAAUCAUUGAAUCUCAAAAUAUCCAUUCUUUGAAAAAUAAUUGCAUGGACCCAGAGAACUAUCUUGUUCUGCGUGGUAAAGGAGGAACAGUUUGAGUUUCCCUCAGAGAUUUCAGAGGAGCAGGAACUAGGAAUGUGAGAAGCUGGGAGAUGAGGACAGGCUGGCCUCAGAAGGGCAUUGACAGGGAGCCUUUUCUCCAGAAAGGUGGCGGUCGGCCCCUCCAUGACAGGUUAGCACCAUGUGCCAGUGCUUGGGGAAGCUCAAGUUCUCAACACCUUAAUGGAUGUUCCAUGCCUUCAUUACCUCUUAACAUCUUUCCUAUAUUUGUCUCUGGGCUACAUUUUUUUAGAUAUGAAAGAAAGAUGUUUCAUCUGCUUGUUCAAUCCCCAAAUGCCCACAGUGGUCAGGGCUGGACCAAGUUGAAGCCAGGAGCCUGUAACCAGCAUCCCACAUGGAUGGUAGAAAUGCAGUCACUUGAGCCAUCACCCCUGCCUCCCAGGGUCCACAUUGGCAGGAAGCUGGAAUAGCAUUCAAGCCAGGACUUGAACCCAAGCACUCCACUAUAGGAUACAGGCAUCCAAAGGGGUAUAUGAGCUGCCUUGCCAAAACCUACCCCACCAGGCUUGCCAUGGAUAUUCUGCAGUCCGUAGGAUACCCAUGUCUUAAAAUAUAUAAUGUGUGUGUGUGUGUGUGUGUGUGUAUAUAUAUUUGUUUUCUUUAUUUGAAAGGGAAAUUUACAGAAAGAGGCAGAGGGAGAGGUCUUCCAUUCGCUGGUUCACUCCCCAAAUGUUUGCAAAAACAACAACCACCAGGACUGCAACAAUGACAAGAAGAAGAAGCCAGGAGCUUCCUCCACAUCUCCCGCAGGGUGCAGAGGCUCAGACAUUUGCACCAUCCUCAGCUGCUUUCCCAGGCAAGUUAGCAGAGAGCAGGAUCAGAAGUGGAGCAACCCGGGACUCAAACCAGCACCCAUAUGGGAUGCCAGUGCUGCAGGCCAGGGCUUUAACCUGCUAUGCCACAGCGCUGGCCUGAGACCCAUCCGUUUGCAGUUCCUAUUAAACAGAGAGUGCAUUCUAUGUAGAAAAUACAUGGAUUAUAAAGAUGAAGAACUGAGAAUAUCCCUUUCUCAGACUGUGGCACCAUAUCCUUGAGAAGGAGCAAUAAAACCUUAAAAAUGCACAUCUUGCCCAGAUGGAGAAAUGAGACUUCCAAAUAAAGGUGAAAUCCUUAAAUAUCACCCCAGAGUUAUGCUAAAAACUAUUGCCUUAAAGAACUUGAGAAGAGAAAACAUUUUAAAUUCCAGUCCCCAGAGAGCAAAGGUUUCUGGCUCAGAGGAGCUCCAGCAUGCCAGGACACCUCCUGUAACCCUGCCGACAGUCCAGUGUCUACCGGCUCCUCAGGAAGCCAGAUCUGAGGCGGAGCUCUCAGGGACACUUGCGGAAUCAACACCCAUGGAAAAGAAAGGAAAAGCAGGCAGGACUGGGCCUCAGCCAACCUUAGGGGGAGCUCUGAAGACAGAUUCAUCAAUGUCAUCCCAUGAUAAUCAGUCUCUGGGUGGGCGUGACCUUGGGUGAGGUAGGUCUCGGCGGGGGCUGUCUGGGAUAGAGGCUGGCAGCGCAGGGCUGUCUGCCAGGCUCCUUCUUUGCUGGGAGGGCCCUGUUUGGUGCAUCCCAGCAUCCGCUGCCCUGAAAGCCCUAGCCAUCACAUGGAGAGUUCCCCAAGCUCAGCAUCUCCCGCCUCUGAAAAUGCCAGGAUUCUUUCAUCAGAUUUCUUCAGUAUAAGAUUAAGGCCUCCAGGCAUGAUCACUAAAGACUUCUGCUCUUAGGAAAGAACAAUGUAGGGCAGCUGUUGGGUGCAGUAGUUAAGUCUCUUUGGGACACCUGCAUCCCAUAUUAGAGUCCCUGGUUCAAGUCCUGGCUCUGCUUCCAAUUCCGCUUCCUGCUAAUGCACAUCCCCAGAAACAGCCAGUGAUGUCUCCAGUACUUGGGUCCUUGUGAUGCAGGUGGGAGACCCAGAUUGAGUGAACCUGCUGGUUCACUUCCCAGACGCCUCCAAUGGCUGGGGUUGGGCCAGGCCAAAUGUCAAAUGGAAUAUUCUCUCUCUCACUUGGCCUUUCAGAUAAAUUUUUUUAAGGAGCAACCUUUUACCAUAGUCUCAAACAAAAUCUCUUUAUUUCUUCAUAGUUUUAAUAUUCUUCAACCAUCCAGGAUUUUUAAAAGGCUUCAGUAAAACCAGAAGUUGGAUUAUCUAUAAACAGGAAACCAAAGAAGUCUAAAAAAAUUUUUCAAUAUUACAAUUUUAAUUCAGAAGGUUAAAAUUAUGGGGUAAGAAAUGCCGACACUCACUCUGAAUUACCCUUAAAAAUGACUCUUUUUAGUUGUGCUUUUUAAGUCCAUGGUAAUUAUUAGCAUUUGAAAAAGAUGAUUCUGUUGAGUCCUAACUAGAGCUACAAACUGGCUAAACCUUGUGACUCAGCCUAGAGAGAUGAAAAUAAAAUGUGAAUGGUUCAAGUAGUCAAGAGAAACAGGGAACAUUGUUUCUGAUUUUCCAAUUGGAUAUAAAUUUCCCCACUCACAGCCUCUGAACUCAGGUGUAUCAACACUACCCAAAUAAUUUGCAUUUUGUGCAACCCUACCUGUUUACCCAGGUGGCUGGUGGGAGCUGACUAACUGAUAAUGCUGAAAAGAAAGUGAAAAAAAGUCCAUUUGCAACCUGGUUUUGCCUUCCUUGUGCCUUACUCGUAUCUUCCAUAGGCUCCUGGAUGCCCAGAACAAACUCUCUACAGUUUCUCCUCAGUGCUUUUUAUGUAGAAGUGUUAUUGAAGAACAUAAACCAAAAUUUAAUAUUUCGGGUUCAUGCUAUUUGCCUAGAUUAGAAUUCUAAGCACCUGCCCAUAUGAAAUAGACAACAUGGUAAAGUUCAGGAUUUAUUUGGAAAGUGAGAGAAAUACAUAGGAACGUGAGGGCUUUGUUAAGGAAAUGUGGGUCAGAAAGAGUAAGUGGGGCAUUCCACACCAGCCUUUUCCAGAGGGCAGGCCAGAGGCUGUGAGAGGAGAGUGGUGAGAGGGCAGGCAAGCACAGCACGGGAGAGCAGGCAGGAGAAGCGGCAAAACAGGGCCAGCUCAGCACACGGCAGCCUCAUAUCCACUUCCAAAAUGGGAGUGGUUAUGUAGUCUGAUUGACAGGUGGAUGGAUAUAGGUGAGAUCACACAGGGGUCAAGGAGGUGUGGCCUCCAGUUCAUGAGCACAAUUCUGUCUCCCUGAUUGGGUAGAUAUCAUUGUCCCCUCAGAGAUUCCAGACCGUUAAUCUUAAGGAGGUACUGAAGGACAUAGACUCAUCAUAUCUCCUAUACCUACUUCCUGCUGAUCAGGGACACAGACCCUGCUUGUCCUAGGUCCGGAAAUCUCUUCCUGUCUCAUCUAAUGAAUUCAUUCUUGAGCUGGAGAAGUUUCAGUCACCACCAAUGGCUGUAUCCCCUACAUGGUCAUCAUUACUCUAGGAAGUCAUUGAGUUCUGAAACACACAAGUUUAUCAGUCAGCAUAAACAAAACUGGAACAAAACCAAUUGUAAGUGGAGUGCCCUUUAUGAUGGAAAGAACAUAUUUUAUAGACUCCCAGAUGGUGGGUGGUGAUAGGCUAUCCUUAUGCAGAUUAUAAAACUAUUUAGCAUGAGCAUAGAGAUUUUAAUGUCUCUUUCAGUAAACAUACUACUGUUCAAGUAAAGGUGGCAGAUUCCAUCAAUCACAACACAGGUUCCUCCUUGUUCUAUUAAUACGUAUUCCAAAGCCUGUCUGUUGUCUAUAACUAUCUUGGAGAGAGUGUCCACAGACAUAAGUACUUGCUGUAAAAGCUGGUCUGAAGUGUAAGCCAGAUUACCUAAAGCUAUGGUCAAGUGUUUUUUGUUUUUUUGUUUUUUUAUUUUUUUAAUUAGCUUCAUGUGGUUCACCAGGACAGGUAGUAGUUUAAGCGACAUUUUGGCUGUCUCCUGGAAAAGCUUAGCUAGAAUUUUCUUAAAACUAUGAUUAGUCUCUUCAACUUUACCCAAUGGCUGAGGUCUCCAAGAGGAAUGGAGAUGGUAAGAAAUUUCUAGAGCAGUAGCUACCUGUUGAGUUAUUUUAAAUAAAAAUGAAGGUCCAUUGUCACUCUGAAGUGACUGUAGGAGUCCAAAGCAUGGUGCAAUGUCCUUCAGCAAGGCUUUGGAUACCUCCUGUGCCUUUUCUUUUCUUUUUUGAAGAUUUUAUUUAUUUAUUUGAAAGUUAGAAUUACAGACAGUGAGAGGGAGAGACAAAGGAAAAAGUCUUCCUUCUGUUGGUUCACUCCCCAGAUGGCCGCAACAGCCAGAGCUGCGCCGAUCCGAAGCCAGGAGCUAGGUGCUUCGUCCUGGUCUCCCAUGGGGGUACAGGGGCCCAAACACUUGGGCCAACUUCUACUGCUUUCCCAGGCCAUAGCAGAGAGCUGUUUAUAGUGGAGUAGACACUGAAUGUUCUCCGUCCACCCUCUAUCAAGGUUCCCCGUUGAUUCUGGUUGCCUGUAGCUCAUUCCUAGAAUAUUCUUCAGGAAUGUUCUUGGGGAAGACAUUCUAAGUUUAUAAGUUUGUGUCCUGAAUACUUAAAUUUGGCUGGACACAAAAUCCUUGGAUCUUUCUUACUUUGUUUUCUUUCUCAAAAAACUUUUUUUUUUUUUUUAAGAUUCGUUUAUUUGAAAGGUAGAGUUACAGAGAGGCAGAGGCAGAGAGAGAGAGGUCUUCCAUUCACUAGUUCAUUCCCUCAAAUGGCUGCAGUGGCUGGAGCUGAGACAAUAUGAAGCCAGGAACCAGAAGCUUCUUCCAGGUCUCACUCACAGAUUCAGGGGCCCAAGCACUUGGGCCAUCUUCCACUGCUUUCCCAGGCCAUAGCAGAGAGCUGGUUUGGAAGAGGGGCAGCCAGGACUUGAACCAGUGACAAUAUGGGAUGCUGGUACCACAGGCAUAGGAUUAACCUACUGCGCCACAGAGCCGGCUCCCCGGUUCCUUUUCUGUUUUAGAUGGAAAGGCUUAUAUCUAUCCUGUGAAGGUAUCAAUAAAAACUAGAAGAUAUUUAUAAUUAUUUGUUGGAGGCAGUUAGUGAAGUCAAUCUGCCAUCUGCACUUGGGUAUCUUCCUCUGCUUGGCACAGGAGUCAGCAAGGAGGCAGUUUUACAUGACCACCAGAAUUAUUUUGUAAACACAGUGUGCAAGAAUGAGUUACUUCCCUCAUGAUAGCAUUUAGUCCUUUCCCUGCAAACACUCAAGAGACUGUUUGCAUCAAAGCUUCUCUUCCCAGAUGAGUAGAAUCAUGUAUUUCCUUAAUAAUUUUCCAUUGAGAAGCCAUUGGGAACAUAACCUUGUGAUCCAAAGCCCUCAUCCAUUAGCAUCUUUAGUAUAACCCCGUUGUUGGGCCCAUUCAAUCUCAGACUUGAUGUAGUAAGGUUCUUUAGUCAUUACUACAGGUUGAUGUAGUGGAGCUAUUUCUAGAGCUUCCUGUGCAGUUCUUUUUGCUGCUUUAUCUGCUACUGCAUUUCCCGAGCUAACAUAGAUGUCUCCCUUCUGAUGUCUGUUACAGUUAAUGGCAGCCACUUCCAAAAACUCUAGUACUACCUGAAGUAGAGCCAUUAUCUCCUUUCUGUAUUUAACAGGGGAAUUCUUUGCAGUCAGUAAGCCUCUUUCUCUCCAAAUUGUUGCCCGUGUGUGUAAUGCACGUAAAGUAUAUUUGGAAUCUGUAUAUAUAUUAACUCACUGACCUUUUCCUAGUUGCAAGACUCUAGUUAAUGCAGUAAAUUCAGCCUUUUGAGCUGAAUUAUUGCUUGGUAAUGCUUGAGUUUCCAUUUCCUGGGUAAUAUCUACUAUAGCAUAACUUGCCUUUCUAAUUUCUUCUUUCAUGUAGCUUUGGCCAUCAGUAAGCCAUUCAGCAUCUGGUUUCUCCACAGACUCAUCUUGUAGGUCAGGUCUACUAGAAUACACCUGGUUUAUAGUUUCUACACAAGAAUGAGUUAACUCUUUCUAGUACCCUCAAGUGGUAACAGAGUUGCUGGGUUGAGGACCUGGCACACUUUAAGAAUUUUCUCAGACAAGUCUAACAGUAGAGCCUGAUGUUUUAUGAGGUGCCCUCCUGUUAGCCAUUGAUGUCCUUUAACUUCCAACACCCCUUGCACCUAGUGUGGAAUUUGAACUUCAAGUGGCUGGCCAAACGUCAGUUUGGUGGCUUCCUCCACCAAGAGUGCUGUAGCAGCAACAGCCCUUAAGCAUGCAGGCCACCCCGUAGCCACUGAAUCUAGCUGUUUAGAAAAAUGGGCCACUGGUUAUGGAAGUGGACCCAAUUUCUGAGUCAGUACUCCUAGAGCAACCCCCUGUUUCUCUGCUGUAAACAUGGUGAAUGGCUUACUCAGGUUAGGAAUUCCUAAUGCUUGGGAUUCUGUUAAAAGCUCUUUAAUUCUUUGAGAUGACUUCUGUAACUGCCCUGUCCAGCAAAGUAGGUCUGUGUCAGGGCCUUUUAAAGCUUCCUACAAAAGGUUGGCUAUUAAUCCAAACGCUGGAAUACAUAUUCUACAGAGUCCUGCUGUUCCCAGAAAUGUUCUCAGCAGCUAUUUCAUCUGUGGUGACUCCACACAUAGAAUAGCUUCCUUUCUCUUGACUGAAAGUGCACGCUUCCCUGGGGAUAGAAUAUAUCCCAGGUAACCUACCUCUUGUUUAGAAACCUGAGCUUUUGUUGAGGAAACUGUAUCCUCAUUCCACUGUGAAGCUCAAAACCUGGGUGGUAUUUUUAUCUGAAUCCUCCCUAGAGGGGCUGCAGACUAGAAUAUCAUCUACAUAUUGAAGACUGUGCCAUUAUUUAGCUCUAAUUUCUCUGGGCUCCUUUGCAAGUACAUGUGCGCAGGCUGUCCCAGAACCUUUGGGGGAGCACGGUCCAUGUGUAUUGCUCAGUUAUACCUGAAGCUGGGUCAGUCCAUCCAAAGGCAAAUAAAAAUGCUGAACUUAAUGGAACGCAGAAGAAAGCAUUCUUUAGGUAUAAAGCUGUAUACCACCAGUGCCGUGGCUCACUAGGCUAAUCCUCCACCUUGUGGCGCCGGCACACCGAGUUCUAGUCCCGGUUGGGGCACCGGAUUCUCUCCCGGUUGCUCCUCUUCCAGGCCAGCUCUCUGCUGUGGCCAGGGAGUGCAGUGGAGGAUGGCCCAAGUCCUUGGGCCCUGCACCCCAUGGGAGACCAGGAUAAGUACCUGGCUCCUGCCAUCGGAUCAGCGCAGUGUGCCAGCCGCAGCGCGCCGGCUGCGGCGGCCAUUGGAGGGUGAACCAAUGGCAAAGGAAGACCUUUCUCUUUCUCUCUCUCUUUCACUGUCUACUUUGCCUGUCAAAUAAAUAAAUAAAUAAUAAAAAAAAGCUGUAUACCAUGGGGUCCUUUCAGGUAUUUGUGUCAAUAAAGUAUAAGGACUUGGCACAAUAGAAUGAAUUGGAAUAACUGCCUCAUUAAUAGCCCUGAGGUCCUGAACCAUCCUGUAGUCUCCAUUCAGUUUUAAAACAGGCAAGGUAAGAGUAUAACAGGGAGAUUGACAUGGGACCAAGAGCCCGUGUUUGAGAAACUUAUCAAUCAAAGGUUAGAGACUCCAUCUCCUAGCUUCUGGCUUUAUUGGAUAUUGGCGCUGGUCAAAAAAUGCAGUCUUAGCCUUUAAGAAAAUCUUGACAGGCACAGCAAGUGUAACCUGUCCAGGAAUUCCUUGAUCCCAAACUCAGGGAUCUACUCUUUUAUUUUUUUAAAGAUUUGUUUGUUUGAAAGUCAGAGUUACACAGAGAGGGAAUGAGGGACAGAGAGAGAGAGAGGUCUUCACUCCCCAGUUGGUCACAACAGCUGGAGCAGCACUGAUCCGAAGCCAGGAGCCAGGAGCUUCUUUCUGGUCUUCCCAUGCAGGUGCUGGAGCCCAAGGACUUGCACCAUCUUCUACUGCUUUCCCGGCCAUAGCAGAGAGCUGAAUUGGAAGCAGAGCAGCCAGGUUUUGAACCAGCACCCAUAUAGGAUGCCAGCACUGCAGGCAGUGGCUUUACCUGCUACACCACAGUGCCAGCCUAUACUCUUUCUUUUAUAUCAGUAGGAAUAUUAUCUAAACUAGGAUGUGCCUCAUCCUAGUACUAGUACUAGCUAGUACUUACUAGCAUCAUAACUAAUUACUUACACUUAGGGGAAGUUAACUUUUAAAAAGCAUCUAAAGGUGAUAACAAAUCUGUUCCAAGCAAUGGAGUUGGAUGCUCCAACAUAACUAAAAAUUGGUGAGUAACAAGAACAUCUUCCAUCUGACACAUCAAGGGUAAGGAGAAUCUUUGGGACUGAGGUUUCUCAUCAACUCUCUUAACAGUGCAACUUUCAAGGGAAAGGGGUCCAGCUUGGGAAGUGAGCACAAAGUAGCUCCUGUGUCAAUUAAAAAAUUAACAUGCUUCCCUGCAACCUCAGUAGUCACCCAGGGCUCUUGACAUGAUAAGCCUAGGCUGUGGAAGCCAUUUGAAUCCCCAAAUUCUAUCAGUCUUCAGAUAAGGCCAUGAGCAAAGUGGAAGUCUGAUGACCACUUCUUUCCACUGGGGUCUCACCCACAGAGGUCCUCCUUUGAUGACCACUUCUUUCCACUGGGGUCUCACCCACAGAGGUCCUUCAUGUAGGGAGACAUUUUGCAUCAGUGCCCUGACUUUCCAUGGCUGAAAUGCUCUUGUGGGCCUUUCAGCCAGAUCAGAAUGCUUAGGGGCUGACUCUGAGGUCACUGAGUACUACGUACAGCAAUUGCCAUUCUAUGAGUCUACUGUAUGGACUGCUUCCAUAUUGAAGCACUCUCUCCUGUUUUAAUCCUAUCUAUUAUUAAUAAACAGUUAAUCCUAUCUAUAUGAUCAUAUGAUCACCAAACACUUAAAGUGCUAUUUUUACCAUCUAGCUUAAGGAGAGUUGGGAUCUCAUGGUAAGUCUGCAGAACUAUACAGCUGAACAAUCUCUUUGUAGGACCUGAGAAGAUAAAAACAGACACAGCUCUUCACAAGAUUAAUUAUCUUUAAGCAUAUAACUUGGAUGCACUGAAUUAGCUAUAAUUUUGACACCUUAAAGUCUCCAUUUGUACAUAAAAUGGGGCCCAUUACUUUACCCAGCCCACUGAGGGGGCUCCCAAUUUUUAUCUUUUUCUUUAACCCAGUGUAAAGCUAAAACGCCAUACCAAAACAAAAAUACAACACCACCUUGUCCAAGAUGAACUCUCAGAAGGCCCACUGUGCCAGGGAUACUAAACCCUAGGAGGCCACUGCCAUGCCUGGGGAAUGGAACCCUAGGAGGACAAAGAGAAUCAAUGUAAAGCUAAAAUAAAAAUAUGGGAAUCCAAAAGGGGACCAGUGCAUAGCCAAAAAGAUAAGCGAGCUGGUGUGAAGCCAAAAGGUUAAAAAAAUGAGGGAUCCAAGAGGUCUAGCAUAAACCCAAAAUAAAAAGUUAAAAUAAAAAUGCCAUAAUACCAAAACCAGCAGAGAUCCAAAAUAAUAAACCAGCAUAAAGACAAAAUAAGCUUUAAAAAAGCCAUAACAAAAAACCACUCCGCUAAUUGGGCAUGUGCAGCAUGUGGUCAGCCAUGGGGGCUGCCAUCUUGGGGGUGGCGUCUGUUGCCCAUCUUCCAGUUAGGGCAGAAGUCCCCAUGGGUACCUCCAUCUUGGAACUAUGUGUUUUUAAUGGAGGCACUAUCUUGGCAACCAUAUGUGAAGCAGUUUGAAAUUUCCUUACCAUGUUGGCUGGUUUUUAAACAGAUUAAACAAGUCCCUUUGUGAUUGCCAUUCAUGUUAUAAGAAAACAUAAGCCAAAAUUUAAUAUUUUGGGUUCCUGCCAUUUACUUAGAUAAGAAUUCUAAGCAUGAGCCCAUAUGAGAUAGACAACAUGGUAAAAUUCAGGAUUUAUUUGAAAAGUGACAGAAAUAUACAGGAAUGUGAGGGCUUUAUUAAGAGAAACCAGGUCAGAAAGACUAAGUGGGGCAUUCCAUACCAGCAUUUUCCAGGGGGCAGGCCAGAGGCUGCGAGAGAAUGCACCGGCAGGAGAGUGGCGAUAGGGCAGGCAAGUGAAGCACGGGAGGGCAGGCAGGAGAAGCGGCAAAACGGGCCAGCUUAGCGCACUCCAGCCUCUUAUCCACUUCCAAAAGGGGAGUGGUUAUGUAGUCUGAUUGACAGGUCGUUGGAUACAGGUGUGAUCAUGCAGGGGGCAGUGGGGUGAGGCCUCCAGUUCAUGAGCCUAAUUCUAUCCCCAUGAUUGGUCCCAUAUCAGAAGCAACUUACUCUUUCCCUGUUACUCUUAUCUAAGUCAUAGAUCAUUUCUAUUUUAUAGUGUUUUUUGUAUUUUGAUGAUUUCUGAACUUAUCCAGAGGAGAAAAUAGUGCAAUCAACCAUGCAACACAUAUCUGUUACUCAGCCCAAACAAUUACUAACAGUUAUAUUGCCAGUCUCCUUUCACCCACCUUUCUGCACUUCUGCCAUAUUUUUAAAGACUCAUUUUAUUUAUUUAAAAGGCAGAGAGAAAGGGAUACACAGAAAGAGAUGACUGGUUCAUUCCACAAGUGGUUGCAAUGGCUGGAACUGGGCCAGGAUGAAACCAGGAGCCUGGAACUCCAUCUGGGAUUCCUACAUGAGUGGUAGGGGCCAAAGUACGUGGGCCAUCUGCUGCUGCUUUCCCAGGUGCAUUAGCAGGGUGCUGGAUCAAAAGUGGAGCAGCCUGGAUGUGGACCAAUGCUUUGAUAUGGGAUGCUGGUGCUGCAUUUUGCAGCUUAACCCAUUUGCCAUGGCAACAGCCCCUCCUCCCAUUUUUUUUUUUAAACUGGAAUAUUUUUUAAAGCAAAUCCCAGAUUUCAACACUUCCCUGAUGAGCAGGAAUAAUUUAAAAUAUAACUGCCCUAGCAUGGUCAUUUCUUUUUUGUGAUUUUUUUUGGGGGGGGACGGGCAGAGUGGACAGUGAGAGAGAGAGAGAAAGGUCUUCCUUUUGCCGUUGGUUCACCCUCCAAUGGCCGCCGCGGCCAGCGCACCAUGCUGAUCCGAUGGCAGGAGCCAGGUACUUAUCCUGGUCUCCCAUGGGGUGCAGGGCCCAAGCACUUGGGCCAUCCUCCACUGCACUCCCUGGCCACAGCAGAGAGCUGGCCUGGAAGAGGAGCAACCGGGACAGAAUCCGGCGCCCCGACCGGGACUAGAACACGGUGUGCCGGCGCCGCAAGGCAGAGGAUUAGCCUAGUGAGCCGCGGCACCGGCCCAUCAUGGUCAUUUCUAAUAAAAUGACCAGUGAUUCUUUAACAUUAGCUACUAACCAAUCCAUAUUCAAAUUCUUCAGUUUUCUCAAACCCUUCAUAACAGCAAGGAAGUGGUAGAAGCUUGGAUUUGAACACAGGCAGCUGGACUCUAGCAGACGCGAAAAUCUGUAACCCUGAGAAGGGAAUUCACACAGAACUGAAGGAGCUGACAGGGAGCAAAAGCAGCAGGUGACAGCAUGCCAGGAAACUGUAAGCAGAAAGUUGCUCAUAACCUCAUAGCAAAGGGUGGCUUCAGUCAGAAAGGGAGUUCAAAAUGGGUCCUUUCAGGAAACUGAUAACCUCAAGGAGGACAACUUUGGAGGCAGCAGAUGGAAAGAGGUGGCAGGGUCCAACUAGACCAAGAAGUGCAAGGUGGAUGGCAACAGCAUCAGGCCCUGGUGGGUCCUGGCAAUAUGGUUGCCACCAGGGAAAUGCAUGGGAAUGCCUCUCUCUGCACUCAGCCACAGCUGCACAAAAGCUGCACCAACCAGCAGAGAGCCUUGGUAACCCAGAAUCAUAUAUCAUGUUCACAAGACAAGACUCAAAAUACUCCCUCUGCAUUACAGGUGAUUUGGGCUGUUUUAAAACAAGAGAUAGCCAUAAUCCGUAUCUUUUGAUGGUUUUGAUUCUGUAAACAAGGAAUGAAAAAGAAAUGCUGAAAGAAGAAACUAAAGAUCAGGCUGAAGCUUUCUUAGAGCCAGGUCCUAGAAUCACAAGAUGCUGCCCAGAGAAGCUGGUGUUCCAUGAUUAACCACAAGGUGGCACUGUUUCGAGCCCAGUCCCUGAAUACUGUCAAAAAUCAAUGUAGACAAUGGUGAUUGUAUUACCAUUUUUUAAAAGAUUUAUUUAUUUUUUGGAAAGGCACAGUUACAGAGAGGCAGAGAGGGAGAGAGAGAGAGAGAGAGCGAGGAAAAAAAGUCUGCCACCUGCUGGUUCACUCCCCAAAUGGCCACAACAGCAACAGCUGGGCUGAUCUGAAUCCAAGAGCAAAAGCUUUUUCCAGAUCUCCCAUGUGGGUGCAGGGGCCCAAGGAAUUGGGUUAUCUUCUGCUGCUCUCCUAGGCCAUAACAGAGAGCUAGAUCAGAAGUAGAGCUGUCAGGAUGCUGGCACUGAAGGCAGUGGCUUUACUGGCUACGCCACAGCACCGGCCCUGAUGGUAUUACCAUUUCAAGGCAGCCAUGAAAAUGCAUCCCUUUGAUGUACUGCUGUGGGACACAUAAUUGACUGUCAGGCCCAGACACUCUGAAUUCUCUUCUGUAUCCAUCCACGGGCUGCUCCAGGACAGUGCCUGGGCGCAGCCGAGCUCCUCCCCAUGCCAUCAGUGUGGUCCAGCUUUUUUGAACCCAGCUAUGUUCAAGAUGCCCCUCUCCUGCCCAGUUGUCAGGACUUCAGUACAGCCUCAUUCAGAGGUGACCCUGUAAGAUUGUGGAGACAGGAAAUCUUCCCUAAAUAUGCAGUUUCCAAGUGGCACAGCCGGUAUCCACUGGAAAAGAAAGCAGCCUGGAUCGAGGCUACAUACAGAUUCUGGAGCAGUGAACAACGGUUUGGCCAGGACACACAGGGUUCUGAGGGAGAGGCAUGUGGGCACAAAGUGUUAUUUUUUCUUGCUCAUUAAUAUCCACUCCCAACCCCCUGGAAACAGCUACUCAACCUGGUCAUAUUAGCUGGCCUACUUCCUCAGUCUCCCCAGAACUGGUGUAAAUGGGCACAUUGCAACCGAGCCCUACAGCAUGAACACACACACACACACACCCCAACCAAGGCUGAUGUGGUUACUGCUGCCUCCAAAGGUCCAGCCUAUGGGCAGUGGAGAACAAUGGUGAGUCUCAUCCUGGCACCAUGCCCUAAGGAGACCAACAGGCCACUGAAGGCAAAUCAGGUGAGUUACAGAUUCAGUGCUCCUCUGUAAAUAAAGCAGAAUUGGCUCCUUUAAAUGGUUUUCCUCCACCCACUGGCACUGAGGCUUUGCUGUAGAGGGCGAUGGAGAGACACUGGAGCUGUGUAAGGGCUUUGCUCCCCAGCUGCUGUGGUGCAGGCACUGGGACUUUCCUGUAGAGGGCGAUGGAGAGACACUGGAGCUGUGUAAGGGCUUUGCUCCCCAAUCGCUGUGGUGCAGGCAGCUCACACGCAGUGGUCAGCAAUACCAGGCUCUCCCAGGCACCUCCCUCGGUUGUUUUGUACCAGGGCCUCUGGUGAGACACCUCUCUGUGGACAGUUUUCCCUGGUUCCCUGAAAGUUAGACUUCUAGCAGGUUCUACCAGCAGAGCUCCGCAGUCACUUCUCUACUGCCCAUUGAGCCGUGUCCUCCCCACUAGAUGUGGUCAUCAGCCUAGUGGGUUGAGGAAGCCUGUUCUUUGGGUGCUGCUUGUCAACCCAAGCAAUGAGAGUUGCUCCUUAUAUCUUCAGAUUCUUUGGCGCUCUCUUCACUUCCUUCUAGCUAAUCCUUCAUUACUCCAUUAUUUAGAAUUAACUUCCCUUUUUCAAAUUACAGUUUGGUCUCUGUGCCAUUCCCCAUAGUGAUAGGUACCUACUCCAGAUAAGGGUUUGCCUUUCCUUCCUGCAGGGACACAGACACCACCACCAUCUGGGAACUUAUAUAAGGUCUGAUCCACAGACACAGAAUCCCAUGCAACACAGCCUGUAGCCAGGUGACCCACUUCCCAGGGAAGGAAAUUUCAGAGUGUGUUACACACUGCACAUCCACAAGCAGCCAGCCUCACACAGGGCUACAGCAACCAAGGCUAAGCUGAGUGCCAUCUUUCAGGAUGCCCAUCCCCAGUAGGUUUGGGAACAUGUUCAGGAACCCACAGGAGAAAGUGGACAUAGCCCUAAGUUCCAUCACCCCCAGUGCUCCACUUUGGGAUCAGAGCAGAGUAGCAGGGAAUAGGAACAUUGGAAAUCCUGGUUCCAAAGAGGCUGGCUGUCGCCAGAGGACACAGCAAGCCAAAGUCCCAUUGAAAAACAACCAUGACUAGGCCAGCGCUGUGGCUCAAUAGGCUAAUCCUCCGCCUGCGGCGCCAGCACACCAGGUUCUAGUCCCGGCUGGGGUGCUGGAUUUUGUCCCAGUUGCUCCUCUUCCAGUCCAGCUCUCUGCUGUGGCCCGGAAGUGCAGUGGAGGAUGGCCCAGGUCCUUGGGCCCUGCACCCGCAUGGGAGACCAGGAGAAGCACCUGGCUCCUGGCUUCAGAUCGGCACCGGCCGCAGCGACCAUUGUGGGGUGAACCAACUGAAAAGGAAGACCUUUCUCCCUGUCUCUCUCUCUCACUGUCCCCUCUGCCUGUCAAAAAAAAAAAAAAUGAAAAACAA